AUUGCCUAGUAACGGCGAGUGAAGCGGCAACAGCUCAAAUUUGAAAUCUUGGCCCUCGGGUCCGAGUUGUAAUUUGUAGAGGAUGCUUUUGGCGCGGUGCCUUCCGAGUUCCCUGGAACGGGACGCCAUAGAGGGUGAGAGCCCCGUCUGGUUGGACACCAAGCCUCUGUAAAGCUCCUUCGACGAGUCGAGUAGUUUGGGAAUGCUGCUCUAAAUGGGAGGUAUAUGUCUUCUAAAGCUAAAUACCGGCCAGAGACCGAUAGCGCACAAGUAGAGUGAUCGAAAGAUGAAAAGCACUUUGAAAAGAGAGUUAAAUAGCACGUGAAAUUGUUGAAAGGGAAGCGUUUAUGACCAGACUUGGGCUUGGUUGAUCAUCCCGCGUUCUCGCGGGUGCACUCUUCCGGCUCAGGCCAGCAUCAGUUCGCUGCGGGGGAUAAAGGCGUUGGGAAUGUGGCUCCCUCGGGAGUGUUAUAGCCCUUCGUGUAAUACCCUGCGGUGGACUGAGGACCGCGCUUCGGCAAGGAUGCUG
This 529-nucleotide ribosomal RNA is filed under the name Sarcopodium circinosetiferum. Its description in RNAcentral is "eukaryotic LSU rRNA". It matches the Rfam family "Eukaryotic large subunit ribosomal RNA", at positions 74 to 628 of the family's 3401-position model. Lineage: Eukaryota; Fungi; Ascomycota; Sordariomycetes; Hypocreales; Nectriaceae. The record is from RNAcentral.